Molecule: ribosomal RNA, 253 nt
Filed under: uncultured bacterium
Lineage: Bacteria
Description: partial 16S ribosomal RNA
Rfam family: Bacterial small subunit ribosomal RNA
Source: RNAcentral
UACGUAGGGGGCGAGCGUUGUCCGGAUUUAUUGGGCGUAAAGAGCGUGUAGGCGGCUUUGCAAGUCCGUUGUGAAAACUCGAGGCUCAACCUCGAGACGCCGGUGGAAACUGCAAAGCUAGAGUCCGGAAGAGGAGAGUGGAAUUCCUGGUGUAGCGGUGAAAUGCGCAGAUAUCAGGAAGAACACCCGUGGCGAAGGCGGCUCUCUGGGACGGUACUGACGCUCAGGCACGAAAGCGUGGGGAGCAAACAGG